AAUCUUCGGCAAUGGACGCAAGUCUGACCGAGCAAUGCCGCGUGAACGAAGAAGGUCUUCGGAUCGUAAAGUUCUGUUAUUAGGGAAGAACGAUUAUAAGAGGAAAUGCUUAUAAUGUGACGGUACCUAAUGAGCAAGCCACGGCUAACUACGUGCCAGCAGCCGCGGUAAUACGUAGGUGGCGAGCGUUGUCCGGAAUUAUUGGGCGUAAAGGGUGCGUAGGCGGUCUAUUAAGUCUGGUUUGAAAUUUUGUGGCUUAACCAUAAAAGGUGACUAGAAACUGGUAGACUUGAGUAUAGAAGAGGAAAGUGGAAUUCCAUGUGUAGCGGUGAAAUGCGUAGAUAUGUGGAGGAACACCAGUGGCGAAGGCGGCUUUCUGGUCUAUUACUGACGCUGAUGCACGAAAGCGUGGGUAGCAAACA
RNAcentral lists this ribosomal RNA (422 nucleotides) under uncultured bacterium. RNAcentral's name for it is "partial 16S ribosomal RNA". It matches the Rfam family "Bacterial small subunit ribosomal RNA", at positions 360 to 774 of the family's 1533-position model. The record is from RNAcentral.